UACGGAGGGUGCGAGCGUUGUCCGGAAUCACUGGGCGUAAAGGGCGCGUAGGUGGCGCGGGAUGCGUGCGGUGAAAGCCCGGGGCUCAACCCCGGGUCGGCCGUGCGAACUCCCGGGCUCGAGCACUGUAGGGGCAGGCGGAAUUCCGGGUGUAGCGGUGGAAUGCGUAGAGAUCCGGAAGAACACCGGUGGCGAAGGCGGCCUGCUGGGCAGUGGCUGACGCUGAGGCGCGACAGCGUGGGGAGCAAACAGG
RNAcentral lists this ribosomal RNA (253 nucleotides) under uncultured bacterium. Its description in RNAcentral is "partial 16S ribosomal RNA". It matches the Rfam family "Bacterial small subunit ribosomal RNA", at positions 524 to 776 of the family's 1533-position model. The record is from RNAcentral.